GCGGACAUAACUCAGUGGUAGAGUACGAGCUUCCCAAGCUCGAGGUCGCGGGUUCGAAUCCCGUUGUCCGCU
Molecule: transfer RNA, 72 nt
Filed under: Candidatus Aminicenantota bacterium
Lineage: Bacteria; Candidatus Aminicenantota
Description: Candidatus Aminicenantes bacterium tRNA-Gly
Rfam family: tRNA
About the family: Transfer RNA (tRNA) molecules are approximately 80 nucleotides in length. Their secondary structure includes four short double-helical elements and three loops (D, anti-codon, and T loops).
Source: RNAcentral